Lagenorhynchus albirostris (white-beaked dolphin) is the source of this 2807-nucleotide RNA transcript. It is a transcript of the gene named nephrocystin 1, with no coding region annotated. The record is from RefSeq and is a predicted model, not a curated record. The transcript has 22 exons. Lineage: Eukaryota; Metazoa; Chordata; Mammalia; Artiodactyla; Delphinidae.
AAUGGAGCUCAUAAUUAGGUGCUCACAAAAUUGCUGUAGAACAGAGUCACCAUCCUCCCAGAACUCAGGAUGGACCAUGUGCAAAACUACAAUGAAGUGAUACUUCAGCAGUAUCCCGAGUGGCAAAGAAUUUAACACUGCCUUUUUGAAGUGAGAGUAUGCGCCAGAACCACGUAUCCCAUUAAGGCCAUAUAGGAAAGCUAUGCUUGCAGUUAAUUUAAGACAUUGAGAUGCUUAAAUUGUAUCUUAAGGUUAGUUUAGAAAAACUGGUGUCAGAAAACAACUGCCAAAACGCCCAGUACCCCAGGAGGAAUGUCGUGGUAGUACUGGGUAUUAUGGGACUUGUAGUUUCGGACGCCGCGGGGCAUUCCCCCUCAUCUCCACCCCAAUCCUUUCGGACUGGCGAGAAAAAGGUGAGUAGCUGGGCAGUGAGCUCAGGACCUGCGGGCUGGCGGAGCGGCUUCCUCGAGGGAGAAUCAUCCCCACACUCCUCCCGCACCAGGCAGUCGGGCUGUGAGGCGGGCGCGCGGUGAUGGCGUCACCUUCCGGUGCCGCCGUCUUGGUUUCCCUGACGACCGGCGUGAGCUCCGCGCCGAGGCGAAGGAGAUGCUGGCGAGGCGGCAGCGCGAUCCCCUCCAGUCACUGCAGCGUCGCAAUCAGGAGCUGAAGCAGCAGGUUGAUGAUUUGCUUUCUGAGAGUCGAUUGAAAGGAGCUCUAGAAGCCAGUAAAAGACGAGAUAUUUACCAAAGAUGUAUCCAAUUAAAACAGGCAAUAGAUGAAAAUAAAAAUACUCUUCAAAAAUUAAGCAAAGCUGAUGAACCUGCCCCUGUUGGGAGUUACAAUCAGAAGAAAGAGGAGGAACACAAUCUUUUGGAUAAGCUUACCCACCAACUGCAGGAACUUGCUGUGUCCAUAAGUAGAGAAAAUGUCACUGAAACUGGGGCGCUUACUGAAGGAGAGGACGAUGACAGUUCUGCUGAAGAAGAUGAAGAAGAAGAAGAAGAAGAAGAAGAUGAAGAGGCCGCAAGUGGAGAAUACGUUGCUAUUGGAGAUUUUACGGCUCAGCAAGUCGGAGACCUUACAUUUAAGAAAGGGGAAAUUCUCCUUAUAAUUGAAAAAAACCCUGAUGGUUGGUGGAUGGCUAAGAAUGCCAAAGGAAACAAAGGUCUUAUUCCCAGAACGUACUUGGAGCCCUGUAAUAAAGAAGAAGGCCCGGAGUCUAGUGAAGAAGGCAGUGAAGAAGAUGUAGAGGUAGGGGAUGAAACGGCAGAAGGAGCAGAAGUUAAACAAAGAACCGAUUCUCAUUGGAGUGCUGUCCGAAAAGCCAUCUCAGAGCAGAUUAACACCGUUGACGUACUGACCACGAUGGGAGCUAUUCCUGCCGGGUUCAGGCCUUCCACCCUCUUCCAGCUUCUGGAGGAAGGGAAUCAAUUUCGAGCAAGUUACUUCUUACAACCAGAGCUCACUACUUCACAACUGGCCUUCAAAGAUCUAAUGUGGGAUGCUAAAACGGGCUCUAUUAGGUCAAGACCAAGUCGUGUUUCCUUGAUUCUGACCCUCUGGAGCUGUAAGAUGAUUCCUCUUCCAGGAGUGAGCAUCCAGGUUCUGAGCAGACACGUGCGCUUCUGUCUGUUUGACGGCAAUAAGGUUCUGAGCAACAUUCAUACAGUCAGGGCCACGUGGCAACCUAAGAAACCCAAAACAUGGACCUUUUCUCCCCAGGUUACUGGCAUCUUGCCCUGCUUGCUUGAUGGUGACUGUUUCAUCAGGUCCAAUUCUUCUUCUCCAGAUCUUGGAAUAUUAUUUGAACUUGGAAUUUCUUAUAUUCGCAAUUCAACUGGUGAGAGAGGAGAAUUAAGUUGUGGCUGGGUGUUUCUUAAACUUUUUGAUGCCAGUGGAAUUCCUAUUCCAGCAAAAACUUAUGAACUCUUCUUGAAUGGAGGUACCCCUUAUGAAAAAGGUGUUGAAGUGGACCCUUCAGUAUCCAGAAGAGCACAUGGUAGUGUUUUCCAUCAGAUGAUGACAGUGAGAAGGCAGCCUCAGCUUCUAGUAAAACUGAGAUCUUUGAACAGAAGAUCAAGGAACAUGCUAAGUCUACUGCCGGAAACAUUAAUUGGAAGUAUGUGCUCCGUUCAUUUGUUGAUAUUUUAUCGCCAGAUUCUUGGUGACGUGCUCCUGAAAGACAGGAUGAGCAUGCACAGUGCUGAUUUAAUUAGUAAUCCAGUGCUGGCCACCUUCCCCAAGCUCCUGGAGCAGCCCGACCUGAUGGAUGCGCUCAGGAGUUCCUGGGCUGAGAAAGAGAGUACCUUAAAAAGGUCAGAGAAGAGAGACAAGGAGCUCCAGAAGGCCGUGUUCCUCCUGGUUUACCACGACUGCGCGCUUCCCCUCCUCCACUCUGCGCUCCUGCCUCCGUUCAGGUGGGCAGAGGAGGAGACCGAGGCCGCGCGAUGGAAGGUCAUCGCCGACUUCCUCAAGCAAAGCCAAGAAAACGAGGGCGCCCUCCAGGCUCUGCUGUCGCCAGCGGGGCUCCAUGAGCCUUUCGACAUUUCAGAGCAGACCUAUGACUUCUUGGGUGAGAUAAGAAAGGUCGCAGCCUGACAGCGGUGCCCCUUGACCUUCUACUUCCCGCUGAAUCUGAUAGACCCUCCAUGACAACCUGCAUCACCUAAAGCCCUGGACAGGAUGCGUGAAACAGCUUUCUGAGGACUCUGAAAAAUAAGUAGAAGUGGGACUGUUUGGGAAGGAAACCAGAAUUGAAAAUACUACCAAAGUGGUGGCAACGUCCUCUGAUGGGUGUGUCGGGCAGG